Molecule: non-coding RNA, 474 nt
Filed under: Triticum aestivum (bread wheat)
Lineage: Eukaryota; Viridiplantae; Streptophyta; Magnoliopsida; Poales; Poaceae
Description: rRNA SSU_rRNA_eukarya
Rfam family: Eukaryotic small subunit ribosomal RNA
Source: Rfam by way of RNAcentral
AAGGGACGGGGUCAUGGAGCCUGUGGCUUAAUUUGACUCAACACGGGGAAACUUACCAGGUCCAGACAUAGCAAGGAUUGACAGACUGAGAGCUCUUUCUUGAUUCUAUGGGUGGUGGUGCAUGGCCGUUCUUAGUUGGUGGAGCGAUUUGUCUGGUUAAUUUAAUGAACGAGACCUCAGCCUGCUAACUAGCUAUGUGGAGCCAUCGCUCCGCAGCUAGCUUCUUAGAGGGACUAUCGCCGUUUAGGCGACGGAAGUUUGAGGCAAUAACAGGUCUGUGAUGCCCUUAGAUGUUCUGGGCUGCACGCGCGCUUCACUGAUGUAUUCAACGAGUAUAUAGCCUUGGCCGGCAGGCCCGGGUAAUCUUGGCAAAUUUCAUCGUGAUGGGGAUAGAUCAUUGCAAUUGUUGGUCUUCAACAAGGAAUGCCUAGUAAGUGUGAGUCAUCAGCUCGCGUUGACUAUGUCCCUGCCCUU